AUGGGCUAUGGCCGGGAAGAGGUCAGGGAGCAAGGGGGCCACGGGGAUCCGGGGCGUGGGACUCAGGCCCCGGCCUGAGUCUUAGGUAUCCGUAGCGCCCUCCUUCUUCCUCCUCUUCGCUGAUUGCAGCUCACAGUAAGUACUGGUUCACACAGUUCGUUCUCUGGGUGCUCACUCUCUUUCUCUUUCUCCACAGGCAUCAACUUGGGCACACUAGCACAGUUAGUUUGCUUUGAAUGGCUCUCACCUCUGGGCUGGACACAGCGUACUGUAAGUACAGGGUUCGCUCUAUUCCUCCUCGUGUUAUUCACUCUCUCUCCUUUUCUCUCCACAGGCAUCAACUUGGGCACAAUAGCACAGUUACUCUGCUUUGGAUGGCUUUCACCUCUGGGCUGGACACAGCGUACUGUGCUAUCUCCGGAGAUCUGAAGCACGCGCACAAC
This is a long non-coding RNA of Cyprinus carpio carpio, 443 nucleotides long. The record is from Ensembl. Lineage: Eukaryota; Metazoa; Chordata; Actinopteri; Cypriniformes; Cyprinidae.